ACCUCGGUGAUGCAGUGGCAGCACACGUCCCUCGUAUGGAUAAAACGCGGGUUCGACUCCCGUUUGAGGUC
Parelaphostrongylus tenuis is the source of this 71-nucleotide non-coding RNA. The record is from the annotation of a GenBank genome assembly. Lineage: Eukaryota; Metazoa; Nematoda; Chromadorea; Rhabditida; Metastrongylidae.